This is a non-coding RNA of Schistosoma mansoni, 45 nucleotides long. NCBI's taxonomy places the organism in Eukaryota, Metazoa, Platyhelminthes, Trematoda, Strigeidida, Schistosomatidae. The record is from Rfam.
ACCCAGCCGACGAGUCCCAAUUAGGACGAAACGUGCGUCCUGGAU